GGGGAUGGGAGGGGGAUUCUAUAAAGAAUUUUUUGAGAUGGUGACCUUUAGGGUGACUAUGAAAGAUAAACUGGAGUUAUUCAAGCAUAGUGUUCCAGGCAGCAGAAGAGCUAGGAAAGGGCAAGGGUAUGGGGAUGUCUGGCACUUGAAGAAAUAUAUGAAGGCUAAUGUGAAACACAAGCAUUGUAUCCCCCAAAGCUCAUUCCAGGCAGGAUCAUGUAUAAUUAACCUCUUAGUAAGCCUCUACCAUUUUGGAAGAGUGUAUAGGCACAGUCUAUAACCAGAAAGUCUUCAGUUAUUCAGUCAUAGACACAUAGAGUUAUG
This 324-nucleotide long non-coding RNA is filed under the name Marmota monax (woodchuck). The record is from RNAcentral. Lineage: Eukaryota; Metazoa; Chordata; Mammalia; Rodentia; Sciuridae.